GAUGAACGCUGGCGGCGUGCCUAAUACAUGCAAGUCGAGCGAACAGACGAGGAGCUUGCUCCUCUGACGUUAGCGGCGGACGGGUGAGUAACACGUGGAUAACCUACCUAUAAGACUGGGAUAACUUCGGGAAACCGGAGCUAAUACCGGAUAAUAUAUUGAACCGCAUGGUUCAAUAGUGAAAGACGGUUUUGCUGUCACUUAUAGAUGGAUCCGCGCCGCAUUAGCUAGUUGGUAAGGUAACGGCUUACCAAGGCAACGAUGCGUAGCCGACCUGAGAGGGUGAUCGGCCACACUGGAACUGAGAUACGGUCCAGACUCCUACGGGAGGCAGCAGUAGGGAAUCUUCCGCAAAGGGCGAAAGCCUGACGGAGCAACGCCGCGUGAGUGAUGAAGGUCUUCGGAUCGUAAAACUCUGUUAUUAGGGAAGAACAAAUGUGUAAGUAACUAUGCACGUCUUGACGGUACCUAAUCAGAAAGCCACGGCUAACUACGUG
RNAcentral lists this ribosomal RNA (497 nucleotides) under uncultured bacterium. RNAcentral describes it as "partial 16S ribosomal RNA". It matches the Rfam family "Bacterial small subunit ribosomal RNA", at positions 28 to 507 of the family's 1533-position model. The record is from RNAcentral.